Molecule: ribosomal RNA, 260 nt
Filed under: uncultured bacterium
Lineage: Bacteria
Description: partial 16S ribosomal RNA
Rfam family: Bacterial small subunit ribosomal RNA
Source: RNAcentral
CGGCACGGGUGAGUAACACAUAUGCAACCUGGCCGUCACAGGUGGAUAACCGGAAGAAAUUCCGACUAAUACAGCAUAACACUCCUGAGGGACAUCCUUCGGGAGUCAAAGGAGGCAACUCCGGUGACGGAUGGGCAUGCGGCGCAUUAGGUAGUUGGUAGGGUAACGGCCUACCAAGCCGACGAUGCGUAGGGGUUCUGAGAGGAAGGUCCCCCACACUGGUACUGAGACACGGACCAGACUCCUACGGGAGGCAGCAG